This 1104-nucleotide long non-coding RNA is filed under the name Homo sapiens (human). RNAcentral describes it as "PREDICTED lncRNA (TCONS_00076188)". The record is from RNAcentral. Lineage: Eukaryota; Metazoa; Chordata; Mammalia; Primates; Hominidae.
GAAUAUUUGAGGAUGUUGUUCUUGGUCUUCACGUUCAUGCAUUUUCCCUCUAUUUUUAUAAUUGGAUCAAUGAAUCAAUAAGCAAAUAUAUUUUAACUGCAUAAAGAUAAAAAUAGGCGUUGUCCAAUUAUGGAAAUAUAUGGUGAAAUAAGAAAUACUAUUCACAUUUAUUAAAAACACUGAGGUCUUCUUUCUAUUAACAAAUAAAUGACUCAGAGGUAUUACUCGCUUGCUGCAGGAUGGCAUAUACAGUAAAAAUAAUAAUAACGUAUGUGAGGUCAUUUGGGUCAGGACCAUGUUCAUGGUUGUUUGUUUUCUCAAGAAAAAAUAGUUUCACACAUACUUACAUGACUAAUAGAAUGAAAGGAGAAAUGUGUGGAUAAAUGGACAGAAUAUUUCCAUCUUUUUAUCUUUUUUGCUUUGUACUCUCACAAUGAACACCCUCAAGUUGACUUAAGCACCCUUCCAUGGUCAUGAGGUUUCUGGUUGCCUCUGUGUGUUAGAAGCUUGGAGACCAAUGCCUUCUGCUGUGAUCGCGUUCUCCACAGUUGCCUCUGGGUAGGAGCCUGGACACUAAUAGAAAAUGGAUGCACUUGAGCCGACCUAAGCAUUCAUGGUCAUGAGAUUUGUGGUUGCCACUGUUGGUUAGGAGCAUAGAGAUCAGUAAUGGACACACCUGGGCUGGCAGAACAUCUUGCCUUGAUCUGGAGCCCCAUGUCUGCCCCUCUGUAGAGGUGCACAUGGGCCAAUGAUGGAUGCAAUGAGCUGAUCAUUUUGCUGUGAUCAAGGCUAUGUUGCCUCUGUGUUAGGCCAAUGGUUGAUGUUCAUGGGUGAUUGAUCAUCCUGUAGCGACGGUGGUAUUGACUGUUCCCCAGAGGACAAGGAGUGUGUUCUUAUGUAAGUCAUAGUUGACAUUCUUGUUUUUGAUUGGGUAGUUUGCCUGUUCAUUGAUGUUCAUAGUACUAUAGAAGGUAGAUAAAUGGCCACAUACCUAAAGAAAAUCAAAGGGGACAAAAAGUGAGAGUCUGUUAUAAACUAAGGAUUAUAAUUAAUGUAAUUCAGUACAACUGUGGACAAUUUUGAAAAGAUAAAGAUUGAUGUCAU